CUGAACAUGCAUAACACCCUGAACACGAUCCCGUCUGAUCUCGGAAGCUAAGCAGGGUCGGGCCUGGUUAGUGCCUGGA
RNAcentral lists this ribosomal RNA (79 nucleotides) under Panthera tigris altaica (Amur tiger). The record is from RNAcentral. Lineage: Eukaryota; Metazoa; Chordata; Mammalia; Carnivora; Felidae.